RNAcentral lists this ribosomal RNA (346 nucleotides) under uncultured bacterium. RNAcentral's name for it is "bacterial SSU rRNA". It matches the Rfam family "Bacterial small subunit ribosomal RNA", at positions 8 to 334 of the family's 1533-position model. The record is from RNAcentral.
AGGGUUCGAUUAUGGCUCAGGAUGAACGCUGGCGGCGUGCUUAACACAUGCAAGUCGAACGAAGCACUCUAUUUGAUUUUCUUCGGAAAUGAAGAUUUUGUGACUGAGUGGCGGACGGGUGAGUAACGCGUGGGUAACCUGCCUCAUACAGGGGGAUAACAGUUAGAAAUGACUGCUAAUACCGUAUAAGCGCACGGUACCGCAUGGUACAGUGUGAAAAACUCCGGUGGUGUGAGAUGGAUCCGCGUCUGAUUAGGUAGUUGGUGAGGUAACGGCCCACCAAGCCGACGAUCAGUAGCCGACCUGAGAGGGUGACCGGCCACAUUGGGACUGAGACACGGCCCAA